This is a long non-coding RNA of Eublepharis macularius, 455 nucleotides long. RefSeq lists it as uncharacterized. The record is from RefSeq and is a predicted model, not a curated record. The transcript has 3 exons. NCBI's taxonomy places the organism in Eukaryota, Metazoa, Chordata, Lepidosauria, Squamata, Eublepharidae.
UGGCGCCUCUCACCAGGUGUGUCAAACCACCAGGGACAGACCUACACAAGGGCACUCAUUUCUCAGGAUGCUGACCUAAGGUCACACAGGAGCUGAGCAGAUGAAGCAACGAGCGGCAGCAGGAUAGAGGUUACAAGAUCUCACUCCUGUCUCACAGCAUGAUUGAGAGUUGCGCCACAGUCACACUCAAGCAUUCACAAAACCAUUUAAACCUCUCAAGAUUUUCAAAACAAGCUAUUGAUGUUUGUACCUUCCAAUACAGGCAGAAAAUACCCACCUAUAAAAGAGAGAAAGGAAGGGGAGUUGUAGAAAGUUUUGCCCAGUUGCUGAGGGAGCUAUGCACUGUGUAGAAAUAUGUCAGAAUUUUUAAACGGUCUCUAGCAUUUCUGACACCUUGUUAACAAAUUUAAAGUGAGACCCAAUAGUCAACAAAAGUUGAGAAGGGAAAAAAAAGC